CAAUACAGUUUGCGCAGAUAGAUGUGAAUACAUGCGGGGCGUAUGACGUGGCGCGAGUGGGGCGGGCACACGCAAAUUCGCCUCCUCCGCCCGAACGCUUGAAGCUGGGACGAGCUGAACUUCAACCCAGAUUCGCAUCGUAACAGCCAAUCAGCAUCGAGAAUGGGCUACGUCUCAAACACACAGCGUCCUGUACAGAGGAAAAUGGAGGAGGUGAUUGUUGCAGUCUGUGGGAGCAGCUGUUUGACACAUGUUAUCAGUACCGGGAUCGAGCAAGAAAGGAGCAGGCUUGGAAAAUGGUGAAUGAAGAAAGCUGGCAUACCUGAUUAACUUUAUCGGACAGAUGAGGGGAAACAGGAGGAGGGUCAAGGAGAACAGGAGGUUGCUGCCUCUGCCCCACCUCGGGAGAUCUGGAGGCUGCAGUGUCCAGCAGAAGCAACAGGCACAUGUCGUCCAAUUCCGCUGUGCACCACUUGAAUCAGCUUGGCACACAGAGUGAAUGGCGGUCGGGCUUGACCGCACAGGCGGGUGCACGUGUGUUUUGGGAAGGGGACCCACAGUGUGCGAUUGUCCCCUGCCAUCCCGCGACGUACACUUUGAUAAGACGAGAUGUGUCAGAGAGCUGAGUUGCUGGAGCCACGGUCACGAGGGGGGCAGCUCAGGGUUUGCUAGCGAUGAUGCUCACAGUGCAACAUUUUCAAGCUGGAAUGCCAUUUUCACCAUCUUUGAAAGAGCCAGUUCGUCAGGGGAAAGCAGCAGCUUCUCCAGCAGCUUCGGAUCAAUCGUGUGCUCUGCCAACUUGUCCCAAAUCAUCUUGUCUUCCAAUCAGCCAAAUUUACAGAGGCUAGCCAAGCACCGUAGGUCAGCGACGUUGUGCUGUAGUGACUCGUCUAUGUGCUGGUGUCACUGGUGUAUAACAAUCCGCCAGACUAUAACACUCUGUGGAGCAGUGAAGCCAGCAAGACGACACAGUCUUCAUUCGUCUGCGCAAGUCCAAGAGUAGGAAAGAUUUGUGGCCCAGGAUGUUAAAGAACAUAGCGGUUAGCCUCUCGUUACUGGGUUCAGCUAGUCAGAUCACCGCUAGGAAUGUACAUUCCUACUACCUGGGCCACUGCUCUGGCAGCUCACUUAGCAGGGCGGACAGCUGCUUGAAGUGAAGCUCUAUCUUCGUUGCCUAUUUUAUGACCAAUAAUAUGCGGACAAUGACUGUGCGAAAAAUAACUUUAUUAGUUACACAACAGUUGCAACCGUCACAUCACUUGUGUUGCUUGACGACACUGACGUCACACUAUCAUAGCACUACGGCUUAUAUGCUA
Long non-coding RNA from Phyllopteryx taeniolatus (common seadragon), 1316 nucleotides. RefSeq lists it as uncharacterized. The transcript has 4 exons. The record is from RefSeq and is a predicted model, not a curated record. NCBI's taxonomy places the organism in Eukaryota, Metazoa, Chordata, Actinopteri, Syngnathiformes, Syngnathidae.